GGGUCGGUGGCGUAGCUGGUUAUCGCAUCUGUCUAACAUAAAGAGCGCAAUCAUAUACACAGAAGGUCCUCAGUUCGAACCUGGGCCGACUCA
Non-coding RNA from Armillaria nabsnona, 93 nucleotides. The record is from the annotation of a GenBank genome assembly. Lineage: Eukaryota; Fungi; Basidiomycota; Agaricomycetes; Agaricales; Physalacriaceae.